This 57-nucleotide microRNA precursor is filed under the name Echinococcus granulosus. Its description in RNAcentral is "microRNA egr-mir-10242 precursor". Lineage: Eukaryota; Metazoa; Platyhelminthes; Cestoda; Cyclophyllidea; Taeniidae. The record is from miRBase by way of RNAcentral.
CAGGGGACUUGGAUGGUUCUGCCUAACCAGGGGUGGAGGCCAUCCAAGUAGCUCUGG